RNAcentral lists this ribosomal RNA (468 nucleotides) under uncultured bacterium. RNAcentral's name for it is "partial 16S ribosomal RNA". It matches the Rfam family "Bacterial small subunit ribosomal RNA", at positions 28 to 507 of the family's 1533-position model. The record is from RNAcentral.
GACGAACGCUGGCGGCGUGCUUUACACAUGCAAGUCGAACGGAAAGGCCCUGCUUUUGUGGGGUGCUCGAGUGGCGAACGGGUGAGUAACACGUGAGUAACCUGCCCUUGACUUUGGGAUAACUUCAGGAAACUGGGGCUAAUACCGGAUAGGAGCUCCUGCUGCAUGGUGGGGGUUGGAAAGUUUCGGCGGUUGGGGAUGGACUCGCGGCUUAUCAGCUUGUUGGUGGGGUAGUGGCUUACCAAGGCUUUGACGGGUAGCCGGCCUGAGAGGGUGACCGGCCACAUUAGGACUGAGAUACGGCCCAGACUCCUACGGGAGGCAGCAGUGGGGAAUAUUGCACAAUGGGCGGAAGCCUGAUGCAGCAACGCCGCGUGCGGGAUGACGGCCUUCGGGUUGUAAACCGCUUUCGCCUGUGACGAAGCGUGAGUGACGGUAAUGGGUAAAGAAGCACCGGCUAACUACGUG